UAGGGAAUCUUCCGCAAUGGGCGAAAGCCUGACGGAGCAACGCCGCGUGAGUGAUGAAGGUCUUUGGAUCGUAAAACUCUGUUAUUAGGGAAGAACAAAUGUGUAAGCAACUAUGCACGUCUUGACGGUACCUAAUCAGAAAGCCACGGCUAACUACGUGCCAGCAGCCGUGGUAAUACGUAGGUGGCAAGCGUUAUCCGGAAUUAUUGGGCGUAAAGCGCGCGUAGGCGGUUUUUUAAGUCCGAUGUGAAAGCCCGCGGCCCAACCGUGGAGGGGCAUUGGAAACUGGAAAACUAGAGGGCAGAAGGGGAAAGAGGAAUUCCAUGUGUAGCGGUGAAAUGCGCAGAGAUAGGGAGGAACACCAGUGGCGAAGGCGACAUUCUGGUCUGUAUCUGACGCUGAUGUGCGAAAGCGUGGGGAUCAAACAGG
RNAcentral lists this ribosomal RNA (429 nucleotides) under Actinomycetes bacterium. Its description in RNAcentral is "Actinobacteria bacterium partial 16S ribosomal RNA". It matches the Rfam family "Bacterial small subunit ribosomal RNA", at positions 355 to 776 of the family's 1533-position model. The record is from RNAcentral. Lineage: Bacteria; Bacillati; Actinomycetota; Actinomycetes.